ACGCUGGCGGCGUGCUUAACACAUGCAAGUCGAACGAUGAAGCCUAGCUUGCUAGGUGGAUUAGUGGCGAACGGGUGAGUAAUACGUGAGUAACCUACCUUUAACUCUGGGAUAGGCCUGGGAAACUGGGUCUAAUACCGGAUACGACCAAUCUCCGCAUGGGGUGUUGGUGGAAAGCGUUAUGUAGUGGUUAUAGAUGGGCUCACGGCCUAUCAGCUUGUUGGUGAGGUAACGGCUCACCAAGGCGACGACGGGUAGCCGGCCUGAGAGGGUGACCGGCCACACUGGGACUGAGACACGGCCCAGACUCCUACGGGAGGCAGCAGUGGGGAAUAUUGCACAAUGGGCGCAAGCCUGAUGCAGCGACGCCGCGUGAGGGAUGACGGCCUUCGGGUUGUAAACCUCUGUUAGCAGGGAAGAAGAGAAAUUGACGGUACCUGCAGAGAAAGCGCCGGCUAACUACGUGCCAGCAGCCGCGGUAAUACGUAGGGCGCGAGCGUUGUCCGGAAUUAUUGGGCGUAAAGAGCUUGUAGGCGGUUUGUCGCGUCUGCUGUGAAAGGCCGGGGCUUAACCCCGUGUAUUGCAGUGGGUACGGGCAGACUAGAGUGCAGUAGGGGAGACUGGAAUUCCUGGUGUAGCGGUGGAAUGCGCAGAUAUCAGGAGGAACACCGAUGGCGAAGGCAGGUCUCUGGGCUGUAACUGACGCUGAGAAGCGAAAGCAUGGGGAGCGAACAGGAUUAGAUACCCUGGUAGUCCAUGCCGUAAACGUUGGGCACUAGGUGUGGGGGACAUUCCACGUUUUCCGCGCCGUAGCUAACGCAUUAAGUGCCCCGCCUGGGGAGUACGGCCGCAAGGCUAAAACUCAAAGAAAUUGACGGGGGCCCGCACAAGCGGCGGAGCAUGCGGAUUAA
This 911-nucleotide ribosomal RNA is filed under the name uncultured bacterium. RNAcentral describes it as "bacterial SSU rRNA". It matches the Rfam family "Bacterial small subunit ribosomal RNA", at positions 33 to 949 of the family's 1533-position model. The record is from RNAcentral.